This 557-nucleotide ribosomal RNA is filed under the name Tetragonurus cuvieri. Its description in RNAcentral is "partial 16S ribosomal RNA". It matches the Rfam family "Bacterial large subunit ribosomal RNA", at positions 1851 to 2607 of the family's 2925-position model. Lineage: Eukaryota; Metazoa; Chordata; Actinopteri; Scombriformes; Tetragonuridae. The record is from RNAcentral.
GGUCCAGCCUGCCCUGUGACUAUAUGUUUAACGGCCGCGGUAUUUUAACCGUGCGAAGGUAGCGCAAUCACUUGUCUUUUAAAUGAAGACCUGUAUGAAUGGCACAACGAGGGCUUAACUGUCUCCUUUUUCAGGUCAAUGAAAUUGAUCUCCCCGUGCAGAAGCGGGUAUAUAUACAUAAGACGAGAAGACCCUAUGGAGCUUUAGACACCAAGGCAUUUCAUGUUAAACACCCUUUUACAAUAGGCUAAACCAAAUGAACCGUGCCCCUAUGUCUUUGGUUGGGGCGACCGCGGGGAAACAAAAAACCCCCACGUGGAAUGGGAGCACUGCCUCCUACAACCAAGAGCUGCAGCUCUAGUAAACAGAAAUUCUGACCAUCAGAUCCGGCAAUGCCGAUCAACGGACCGAGUUACCCUAGGGAUAACAGCGCAAUCCCCUUUUAGAGCCCAUAUCGACAAGGGGGUUUACGACCUCGAUGUUGGAUCAGGACAUCCUAAUGGUGCAGCCGCUAUUAAGGGUUCGUUUGUUCAACGAUUAAAGUCCUACGUGAUCUG